This 253-nucleotide ribosomal RNA is filed under the name uncultured bacterium. RNAcentral's name for it is "partial 16S ribosomal RNA". It matches the Rfam family "Bacterial small subunit ribosomal RNA", at positions 524 to 776 of the family's 1533-position model. The record is from RNAcentral.
GACGAACCGUCCAAACGUUGUUCGGAAUCACUGGGCUUAAAGGGCGCGUAGGCGGAUCAGCAAGUCCGGGGUGAAAUCUUUCGGCUUAACCGGAAAAGUGCCUUGGAUACUGCUGGUCUUGAGGGAGGUAGGGGCCUGUGGAACUUCUGGUGGAGCGGUGAAAUGCGUUGAUAUCAGAAGGAACGCCGGUGGCGAAAGCGACGGGCUGGUCCUCUUCUGACGCUGAGGCGCGAAAGCCAGGGGAGCGAACGGG